Molecule: ribosomal RNA, 491 nt
Filed under: uncultured bacterium
Lineage: Bacteria
Description: partial 16S ribosomal RNA
Rfam family: Bacterial small subunit ribosomal RNA
Source: RNAcentral
GAUGAACGCUGGCUACAGGCUUAACACAUGCAAGUCGAGGGGAAACGACGGGGAAGCUUGCUUCCCCGGGCGUCGACCGGCGCACGGGUGAGUAACGCGUAUCCAACCCGCCUCUGACUGAGGGAUAACCCGUCGAAAGUCGGCCUAAUACCUCAUGGCAUCGUCUGCGGGCAUCCAACGACGAUUAAAGAUUUCAUCGGUCAGAGAUGGGGAUGCGUCUGAUUAGCUUGUUGGCGGGGUAACGGCCCACCAAGGCGACGAUCAGUAGGGGUUCUGAGAGGAAGGUCCCCCACAUUGGAACUGAGACACGGUCCAAACUCCUACGGGAGGCAGCAGUGAGGAAUAUUGGUCAAUGGGCGAGAGCCUGAACCAGCCAAGUAGCGUGCAGGAUGACGGCCCUAUGGGUUGUAAACUGCUUUUAUGCGGGGAUAAAGUGAGGGACGUGUCCCUCAUUGCAGGUACCGCAUGAAUAAGGACCGGCUAAUUCCGUG